RNAcentral lists this ribosomal RNA (275 nucleotides) under uncultured bacterium. RNAcentral describes it as "partial 16S ribosomal RNA". It matches the Rfam family "Bacterial small subunit ribosomal RNA", at positions 76 to 354 of the family's 1533-position model. The record is from RNAcentral.
CAAUACUUUGGUGGCGACCGGCGCACGGGUGCGUAACGCGUAUGCAACCUACCUUUAACAGGGGCAUAACACUGAGAAAUUGGUACUAAUUCCCCAUAACAUUCGAGAAGGCAUCUUCUUGGGUUAAAAACUCCGGUGGUUAAAGAUGGGCAUGCGUUGUAUUAGCUAGUUGGUGAGGUAACGGCCCACCAAGGCAACGAUACAUAGGGGGACUGAGGGGUUAACCCCCCACAUUGGUACUGAGACACGGACCAAACUCCUACGGAAGGCAGCAG